AAUCUUCCGCAAUGGACGCACGUCUGACGGAGCAACGCCGCGUGAGCGAUGAAGGUUUUCGGAUCGUAAAACUCUGUUGUUAGAGAAGAACACGUACCGUUUGACUAAGGCGGUACCUUGACGGUACCUAACGAUAAAGCCCCGGCUAACUACUUGCCAGCAGCCGCGGUAAUACGUAGGCGGCAAGCGUUGUCCGGAAUUAUUGGGCGUAAAGCGCGCGCAGGCGGUCUUUUAAGUCUGAUGUGAAAGCCCACGGCUCAACCGUGGAGGGUCAUUGGAAACUGGGAGACUUGAGUGUAGGAGAGGAAAGUGGAAUUCCACGUGUAGCGGUGAAAUGCGUAGAGAUGUGGAGGAACACCGAUGGCGAAGGCAGCCCCCUGGGAUAAUACUGACGCUCAGACACGAAAGCGUGGGGAGCAAACAG
This 424-nucleotide ribosomal RNA is filed under the name uncultured bacterium. RNAcentral describes it as "partial 16S ribosomal RNA". It matches the Rfam family "Bacterial small subunit ribosomal RNA", at positions 360 to 775 of the family's 1533-position model. The record is from RNAcentral.